CCUACGGGAGGCAGCAGUGAGGAAUAUUGGUCAAUGGACGGAAGUCUGAACCAGCCAUGCCGCGUGAAGGAAGACGGCCCUAUGAGUUGUAAACUGCUUUUGUACAAGGGUAAACCUGAAUACGUGUAUUCAGCUGUAUGUACUGUACGAAUAAGGAUCGGCUAACUCCGUGCCAGCAGCCGCGGUAAUACGGAGGAUCCAAGCGUUAUCCGGAUUUAUUGGGUUUAAAGGGUGCGUAGGCGGAUGGAUAAGUUAGAGGUGAAAUGUUGGGGCUUAACUCGGGAACUGCCUCUAAUACUGUUGGUCUUGCGAGUAGAUGCGGUAGGCGGAAUGUAUGGUGUAGCGGUGAAAUGCUUAGAGAUCAUACAGAACACCGAUUGCGAAGGCAGCUUACUAAUCUAUAUCUGACGUUGAUGCUCGAAAGCGUGGGUAGCAAACAGGAUUAGAUACCCGUGUAGUC
This 460-nucleotide ribosomal RNA is filed under the name uncultured bacterium. RNAcentral's name for it is "partial 16S ribosomal RNA". It matches the Rfam family "Bacterial small subunit ribosomal RNA", at positions 338 to 795 of the family's 1533-position model. The record is from RNAcentral.